UUUGUUUAUCAAGUUAUAAAUAAUUUCUGGAUGCUUGUAUGUAAGUGUUACAUUAUAACACGUUGUCCCACUUUGGAUUGGGGGACGGGGCGAUUGAAUAUUUUUCCUUAAGUAUGUAGUUAUCACCCGUAUACCACCGAUCAACAACUACUUGAGAAUCUACAUCACCGAGACGUAUUUUUCGCUACGAGGGAAAUUGCAUCACCGAGACAUAUUUCUCGCGACGAGGGAGAUAACCUAUCACUGCUAAAUUAGCCAAAUACACUGACGUCAUCCGAGGUCAUCAAGAUGGCAGCGUUUGACAAGUAGCCGGUUUUCUCAUAAGAGUCAAUGCUAAUAUUUUCGGAAUUCAUUUAAAUUUGAGAGUGUGUCAACUGUGUUUUUAUAGCUUGGUGAAAAUGCCUAAAUUUUGUGCUGUUGUGGGUUGCGCAAAUCGAAGCACCAGAAAUGCGGAUAAAUUUUAUAUUCCUUUCGCAGCAAUUAGCAACAAUAAUGGUACAUAUAUACAGGAUGGGGAAAAAGGCGGAAGCUUUGGUUAAAAGCCUUGAAACGAGUGGAUUUAACGAAGCCAAAGUAAAGUAUUCCUAUGUUUGUUCGGAUCAUUUUAUUUUAGGUACAGUACCUACCUAUUAGAUUUACAGUUUCUAACAAAUUACUACAUUAGUGCUCUUUUAGGUAAACCUGCACCUGGACCAUCCUGAUUAUGUUCCAUCACAAAAUUUAGGAUAUCAAAAUAAAUCCACUCAUAAUACUUGUAAUGUUGAAAGACACAGUUGUUUAAAAAAGAGAAAAUUGAAUAAAUGUCUCUAAACUUUUGAA
Long non-coding RNA from Zophobas morio, 819 nucleotides. RefSeq lists it as uncharacterized. The record is from RefSeq and is a predicted model, not a curated record. NCBI's taxonomy places the organism in Eukaryota, Metazoa, Arthropoda, Insecta, Coleoptera, Tenebrionidae. The transcript has 2 exons.